Frankliniella occidentalis (western flower thrips) is the source of this 388-nucleotide long non-coding RNA. RefSeq lists it as uncharacterized. The transcript is spliced from 2 exons. The record is from RefSeq and is a predicted model, not a curated record. Lineage: Eukaryota; Metazoa; Arthropoda; Insecta; Thysanoptera; Thripidae.
UUUUUGUUGCAGGGCACCAGUCGGAGGGAUCGCGUGGGGGGCACCGCUUAGGCGUCCUCCCUAUGGUAGAUUAUGUUGGUAGAGCUUGCUGCAUCCGGGUCGAGAGUGCGCUCCCCGGUCCCGUGGGGCUGGCAGCACACACCUCGCUGUUGGCGGCGCCGGCUAUUUUGACGAGUUUUUUUGUUGCUGUUUCUUUUUUUUUAUGGCUGACGUCGUUUUUCAGCUUUUACGACAUACGCUUUUUUAAAACGCAGCAUACUUUCGAGUUUAAUCCUGUUUGCGUUCAAUAGUUUUACACAGAAAAGUAAAACAAAACAACACAGAAAAUGAAAAUCGACAGCGAUUGUCUUUCCUGCAAUCCUCGCUCAAUAAAUUGCAUUGGUUUUAU